GCCAUUGCUAUCAGGGUUUGACUAAGCCAUGCGAGUCGAGAGGUGUAAGACCUCGGCAUACUGCUCAGUAACACGUAGUUAACCUGCCCUAAGGUGGAGAAUACUCCCGGGAAACUGGGGCUAAUGCUCCAUAGUGGAUAUGUCCUGGAAUGGUAUAUCCUCGAAAGAUCCGUCGCCUUAGGAUGGGACUGCGUCCGAUUAGGUUGUUGGCGGGGUAACGGCCCACCAAGCCAUUGAUCGGUACGGGUUGUGGGAGCAAGAUCCCGGAGAUGGAUUCUGAGACAUGAAUCCAGGCCCUACGGGGCGCAGCAGGCGCGCAAACUUUACAAUGCGAGCAAUCGUGAUAAGGAAACCCUGAGUGCCUGUCGAUGCAGGCUGUUCAUAUAUCUAAAUCAUAUGUGAAGAAAGGGCAGGGCAAGACCGGUGCCAGCCGCCGCGGUAAUACCGGCUGCUCGAGUGAUGGCCACUAUUACUGGGUUUAAAGCGUCCGUAGCUUGACUGUUAGGUCUCUUGGGAAAUCUUCACGCUCAACGUGAAGGCGUCUAAGAGAUACCGGCAGUCUUGGAACUGGGAGAGGUAAACCGUACUUCGGGGGUAGGAGUGAAAUCUUGUAAUCCUCGAGGGACGACCUAUGGCGAAGGCAGUUUACCAGAACAGCUUCGACAGUGAGGGACGAAAGCUGGGGGAGCAAACGGGAUUAGAUACCCCGGUAGUCCCAGCCGUAAACAAUGUGCGUUAGGUAUGUCGGUAACCACGUGUUACUGAUGGGCCGAAGAGAAAUCGUGAAACGCACCACCUGGGAAGUACGGUCGCAAGGCUGAAACUUAAAGGAAUUGGCGGGGGAGCACCACAACAGGUGGAGCCUGCGGUUUAAUUGGAUUCAACGCCGGACAUCUCACCGGAUAAGACAGCUGAAUGAUUGUCAAUCUGAAGGUUUUACAUGACUAGCUGAGAGGAGGUGCAUGGCCGUCGUCAGUUCGUACUGUGAAACAUCCUGUUAAGUCAGG
This 1007-nucleotide ribosomal RNA is filed under the name uncultured archaeon. Its description in RNAcentral is "bacterial SSU rRNA". It matches the Rfam family "Archaeal small subunit ribosomal RNA", at positions 23 to 1038 of the family's 1478-position model. The record is from RNAcentral.